GGUUUGUUGCAAUGAGUUGAGAAAGUAACUGGGAUAAUGGCAUCGGCACAGGGUCAAAUCUCCUCUUUCCCUUCUGUUCAAUCCCCGUGGUGAACACUAGAAGAGUCAGCAAUCGGGUCUUUCGUAGAAACCCCUGCCUAAGUCCAAGUUCUUUCUGAGUCCUAAGACUCGGAUUCGUACUAUUAGUUCAAUAAAAGCAAUUACCAAUAUUUGUCAUACCAAUGAUAUUGGUAAG
RNAcentral lists this long non-coding RNA (235 nucleotides) under Prunus dulcis (almond). Its description in RNAcentral is "sRNA ncRNA". Lineage: Eukaryota; Viridiplantae; Streptophyta; Magnoliopsida; Rosales; Rosaceae. The record is from RNAcentral.